GACGAACGCUGGCGGCGUGCCUAAUACAUGCCAGUCGAGCGAAGAUUUUCUGGUGCUUGCCCUAGAAAAACUUAGCGGCGAACGGGUGAGUAACACGUAAAGAACCUGCCUCAUAGACUGGGACAACUAUUGGAAACGAUAGCUAAUACCGGAUAACAGUAUUUCUCGCAGGAGAGAGAUUUAAAAGUUGGUUAUGCUAACACUAUGAGAUGGCUUUGCGGUGUAUUAGCUAGUUGGUGGGGUAAAGGCCCACCAAGGCGACGAGGCAUAGCCGACCUGAGAGGGUGAUCGGCCACACUGGAACUGAGACACGGCCCAGACUCCUACGGGAGGCAGCAGUAGGGAAUCUUCCGCAAUGGGCGAAAGCCUGACGGAGCAACGCCGCGUGAGUGAAGAAGGCUUUCGGUUCGUAAAGCUCUGUUGUUAGGGAAGAAUGGAUGUGUAGUAACUAUACAUGUAAGAGACGGUACCUAACCAGAAAGCCACGGCUAACUACGUG
RNAcentral lists this ribosomal RNA (499 nucleotides) under uncultured bacterium. RNAcentral's name for it is "partial 16S ribosomal RNA". It matches the Rfam family "Bacterial small subunit ribosomal RNA", at positions 28 to 507 of the family's 1533-position model. The record is from RNAcentral.